CCUGGCUGCCCACUUACAGGAAAAACAACGAGGCGGUUGCAGCAGCACGGUAAAGCAAACACAGCGGUGACACAGACGCAUAUCCUCGCUCGCGAGAAAAGAACGAAGGCUAAAAGCAACGUGGCGUAUCUGGCGCCUCUCCGAGAUCGCCAUUCUAGUCCUUUGCCGCGGUAACCUUACUCGCCUUUCGCUUACGUGACACCCCAAGAACUCCACCCGCAGACGCGCACAUCUCUCUCUCUCUCUAGGCCUGCCUCACCAUGAGCUCCUCCGCCUCAACGACGCCGGCGAACUACGAGGGUGGCGGCGGCGGUGGCAUCCGCGACAUCGGCACCGUCACGUCCGGCAUGGCGAUCAUGAACUUUGACCAGAAGACAAAACCGUACACACGCAACGACCUCGUGCAGUUUCUGAUGCACUACCAGGAGAACCUCAACGAGGAGGAGCUGCGACUUGUGGAGAAGGGCAUUGUGGGCACCUUUGUUGGCAUGCCAGCGUUCUUCGGUGCUGGGUACUUCUUAAGCGGCCGGCUUGGCUGGCAUCGCGUGGUGCGUGUCAUGGCGCCGCUGAACGAGGGAGGACGGCCCAGUUGGUUCGUUAGCCACCUCCCAAAGAUCGGGCGAACUGCCUUUGGGUUGACGGCGGCCACCAUCCCCUACAUGGCAGUGCAACAGUGGUUUGUCUCGCGCGUGCUGGAGUUGGACGAGCGGGAGAGCAACUUAUCCUUUCACGUGCGGCGUCUGAUGCUGUCGCAGCGGUCUGGCAUAAUGUUUAAGCGCACCGCCACGCGUGAGGUGACAAAAGAAGAGCAGCAGCGUCUCCUCCGCGAGGCCGAGGCGCACGUGAAUGAGAAUCGCAGUGGCCAGCGUGUGAGCCAGGGCCUCGGCACCGGCCCCGUGGAUGUGAACCUGCAGCUGGGCCAGCAGGUGCUGACGCCAGUGGCGCAGACAGGCUACAAGCCGAUGCCUACACAGCCGCGGUAGUGCCUAGCUCGGCCUGCGCAUGGGCUCUUGGGGGGCAAAAGGACCACCUAGGGGCACCGUGUAGCUGCGACACGACGAGGCCCCCGCCUCCAUCUCUUUCACAUUCUGCAGGCGCUUGUGCUGCCGACCCGCCUUCCCUAUUCCAGGUGGUCGAUGUCGUGCCGAUCUUGCUCUUCCUUGUUUUGCUUUCUCUUGGUUUUGAUUUGGCCAUGUGUGUGGGUUGGUGCUCUGGCACGCGACACGUGUGUUUGUGUGUUUGUGGCGGUUCACGCGUGUAUCGUUGUGGCUCCUCGCACAGGGUUAGGGAUGCGCCUGUCCUGCCGUGUCGUUGGCGCUGACGAAGCUGAUGACACGUUGGUGCGUUUUUCUGUUUGCUUAUUGCGCGGCCGCCUCUUCUCUUGUGGCCCGCCUCUCCCAGACUCACACGAUGGAAGACGCCGCAAUAGCUGCGCGCUCUCUUCUCCCCGCAAUGCUGGGGAGCUGUCGCUGAGGAGGUCUUCGGGGUUUUUUCGACGACCUCGCUCGUGUUCGUGAUGACCUGUCUCCACUUUCUUCUCCUUCUCGGUGACAGAGAGCGAGCGAGUGCCCGCGCCCCCGCCACGCACACACAUAUGCGCAGGCGCUCUUUCUCGCUCUCUCGCCUUUCACGUGUACUGUGUUUCACAGCAACUUGUAACACGAAAAGACGAUUGCAGCAAC
This 1682-nucleotide unclassified non-coding RNA is filed under the name Leishmania donovani. Its description in RNAcentral is "gene:LdHU3.32.4420(CDS-product:hypothetical_prote in_conserved)". Lineage: Eukaryota; Euglenozoa; Kinetoplastea; Trypanosomatida; Trypanosomatidae. The record is from RNAcentral.